Non-coding RNA from Callorhinus ursinus (northern fur seal), 1399 nucleotides. The record is from RefSeq and is a predicted model, not a curated record. Lineage: Eukaryota; Metazoa; Chordata; Mammalia; Carnivora; Otariidae.
UCCACCACCACCUCCAGCCGGAAUACCUUGCCCACAUCUGGGACCACUUUACUCAGUACUUGGUCCCCAUUCGCCUGUCAGGGAAGAAAAAAGGAGCUGCAGGAUAAAGGUUAGAGAGAAAUAUCCCUCGCUUAGGGCACAUAGAUGGGCAAGGCAGGCAAGGCAGGAAGGGGAACAGCACGAAGAAGCCUAACAUUACUUCUGAUUAAGACCGUUGGUAAUCUUUCCUGCCCCAAGCUGCUGAAGCCUGGAGAGCCCUCCUGGCUGCUGAGGAUACCCAGGGCCUUCUGCAUGGCCUCCUCUCCCUGCCGGAUAUAGGCUAGCUCCUGGUCGCUGUAGAGGGUGUCUUCCAGCCGAGAACCUGGACACACAGCCAAGGAGAGACCGGGCUUGCUUCUGUUUCCCUGGCCUCCGCCACGGCUGCCAUCCCUUCAGUCUGGAUCUGCUCAUUCCUCUGCAGAGCCAAGACCAAAGCCAUAGGGUCCGGCUUGCAGGCCACCUCCUGGGCCCAGAGUUGACCUUGCAUCUGGGCUGGCCAGGCCCGGUCCUGCCUGGAGGCGGGGGCUGGACGGGAGCCCGCUGAAGUUUCCUUCUCGAACGAGAGAGAAGCUUCGUUCAACUAGAAAACAAUCUGCUGCAGAAGGAGGAUUAAAGAUGCCCAUCCCCUGUAGUCUGUGUUGCUGUCAGCAGCUGCGGUCCUUUGCCUGAGUAACUGCUCAGCGUGCCCCUGGGCGCAGAGCAAGGUGAGUCUUGUUGAUCUAGUGAGAACAGCCCCGCUGCUGGUCGGGGUCUUCCAAGCAUGGCUUCCAUCUAAACGGAAGCCGGUUCCUCCCAGUGUAAGUGGGGAGCACUUUCGAUUGGUUUGUGUACCCUUCAAUGACCGCAGGGGAUUGACUCAGAUGACCUUGGGUCCUGAUUAGCUCUACAAAAUCAGACUUGGGUAACUGGUUCUGCUUCCUCAUUGUACAAUGAUAACCAGACUUCCAGCUGCACCCGCUUUCUCUCUUCACUUUGCUCUUCUCUGCCCCCGUCCCCCAUGUCUCAGGCUUUGCCAGCACUGCCCGCUGGACUCAAGGCUCACUGCCCCCCCCCCCCUGCGCUGCGGCUCAGUCUUUGCUGGUACCCUUGGUGCCGAUUCAGGCAAAGUCAGGAAGAGCUCAAGAAAGACUGGAGCCCUGGAGAGCAGGGCAGAGGUGACCAAACCCGGGGGAGGGGGGCGAGGGACACAGGCGUCUUAGUAUCCAGCCCAACUGUUCACAUGGGCAAAGGGAUGUCCAGAAGGGAAGAGACGUGUGCCGGUUCCCCCAAUGAGGCGCAAAGUGGGAUCAGCCGGGGAGCUACCUGAGUGCUCCGGGUCACCAUGCGGGCCACCCCCCUGGCCUGGGGAACUGACCUUUCA